RNAcentral lists this ribosomal RNA (773 nucleotides) under uncultured Neocallimastigales. Its description in RNAcentral is "partial large subunit ribosomal RNA". It matches the Rfam family "Eukaryotic large subunit ribosomal RNA", at positions 23 to 634 of the family's 3401-position model. Lineage: Eukaryota; Fungi; Neocallimastigomycota; Neocallimastigomycetes; Neocallimastigales. The record is from RNAcentral.
AGAGAGAGACAUGCGCGCAUAUCAAUAAGCGGAGGAAAAGAAACUAACAAGGAUUCCCUUAGUAACGGCGAGUGAAGCGGGAAGAGCUCAAAUUUGAAAUCUUCAAGGUUUUACCUUGACGAAUUGUAGUUUAAAGAAGUGUUUUCUGCUGGAGUUUUGGUAAAAGUUCUUUGGAAUAGGACAUCAUAGAGGGUGAGAAUCCCGUAUUUGACCAUUAUUUCAGCUUUGUGAUACACUUUCAAAGAGUCGGAUUGUUUGGGAAUGCAGUCCAAAAUGGGUGGUAAAUUUCAUCUAAAGCUAAAUAUUGGCGAGAGACCGAUAGCGAACAAGUACCGUGAGGGAAAGAUGAAAAGAACUUUGAAAAGAGAGUUAAACAGUACGUGAAAUUGUCAAAAGGGAAGCGUUUGACACCAGUGUUGUUUUCUCGAAAAUCAAUUAAAAAUGGCUCGAUUUUGUAUUGUUGAGACCUUAAAAGCUCACUGUACAUUUUUCGUGUCUUUUUUAAUGCACUUUUCGUUUAACAAGUCAACAUCAGUUUCUUUUGUUGUAAAAGGGUCAUUGGAAGGUGGCUUUCUUUUCGGAGAAAGUGUUUAUAGCCUUUGGCCUCUGCAAUCGGAGAGACUGAGGUCUGCAGCGUAGACUCUUCGGGGUUAGAUACAUUUGUGCUAAGUUAUAGCUUUUUAUAGACAACUUGUUGACUAUAAUUAGUCUAGUAGCUUACUCGCUUAUGCUAUUUUACCUACGCUUAGGAUGUUGAAGAUGUAGCACAUCAU